CAGUCGCCACGGUAAUACGAGGGGGGCAAGCGUUGUUCGGAAUUAUUGGGCGUAAAGGGUGCGUAGGCGGUUCAGCAAGUCUCGUGUGAAAUCUUCGGGCUCAACCCGAAGUCUGCACGGGAAACUACUGGGCUUGAGUAAUGGAGAGGUGAGUGGAAUUUCCGGUGUAGCGGUGAAAUGCGUAGAUAUCGGAAGGAACACCUGUGGCGAAAGCGGCUCACUGGACAUUUACUGACGCUGAUGCACGAAAGCUAGGGGAGCAAACAGGAUUAGAUACCCCAGUAGUCCCUGUCUCUUAUAC
RNAcentral lists this ribosomal RNA (301 nucleotides) under uncultured bacterium. RNAcentral describes it as "partial 16S ribosomal RNA". It matches the Rfam family "Bacterial small subunit ribosomal RNA", at positions 509 to 807 of the family's 1533-position model. The record is from RNAcentral.